Molecule: long non-coding RNA, 387 nt
Organism: Penaeus monodon (black tiger shrimp)
Lineage: Eukaryota; Metazoa; Arthropoda; Malacostraca; Decapoda; Penaeidae
Exons: 3
Source: RefSeq, a predicted model, not a curated record
UUAGAAGAAAGUUGCCCAAAAGGUCCCACCCUUUUUCAUCACCCAAGCCAACAGUACCAUCCAAAAAGAAAAGUCCAGAUGUGGAGAAAACACCAAAAACAGAUGUUAAAAGACAGUCAAGUGGUGGCCCAAGCCAGGCUUCUAGUUCAACACCAGUCACCCCAAGGUCAGCUGGGAGAUAUGAGCUGAGAAAUGUAACACCAGCCAGUUAUUCAGCCGUAAGAAGGCGUACAUCAGUGUUUACGCCAGGACGGGCCACUUUAAAAACUCCUUCCAGAACGCCUUUUAGAACACCCAAAAUAAAAUCAUUUGGCGUUAAACCUCCACCUGAUAUUUCUCAAGCUUCUAGAUUACAUAAGGAAGACGCUGCAUUAUGGAAGGAUCAGU